AUUGAACGCUGGCGGCAGGCCUAACACAUGCAAGUCGAGCGGAUGAAGGGAGCUUGCUCCUGGAUUCAGCGGCGGACGGGUGAGUAAUGCCUAGGAAUCUGCCUGGUAGUGGGGGAUAACGUCCGGAAACGGGCGCUAGUACCGCAUACGUCCUGAGGGAGAAAGUGGGGGAUCUUCGGACCUCACGCUAUCAGAUGAGCCUAGGUCGGAUUAGCUAGUUGGUGGGGUAAAGGCCUACCAAGGCGACGAUCCGUAACUGGUCUGAGAGGAUGAUCAGUCACACUGGAACUGAGACACGGUCCAGACUCCUACGGGAGGCAGCAGUGGGGAAUAUUGGACAAAGGGCGAAAGCCUGAUCCAGCCAUGCCGCGUGUGUGAAGAAGGUCUUCGGAUUGUAAAGCACUUUAAGUUGGGAGGAAGGGCAGUAAGUUAAUACCUUGCUGUUUUGACGUUACCAACAGAAUAAGCACCGGCUAACUUCGUG
RNAcentral lists this ribosomal RNA (484 nucleotides) under uncultured bacterium. Its description in RNAcentral is "partial 16S ribosomal RNA". It matches the Rfam family "Bacterial small subunit ribosomal RNA", at positions 30 to 507 of the family's 1533-position model. The record is from RNAcentral.